Molecule: small nuclear RNA, 110 nt
Organism: Sapajus apella (tufted capuchin)
Lineage: Eukaryota; Metazoa; Chordata; Mammalia; Primates; Cebidae
Source: RefSeq, a predicted model, not a curated record
GUGCUCGCUUCGGCAGCACAUAUACUAAAAUUGGAACGAUACAGAGAAGAUUAGCAUGGCCCCUGUGCAAGGAUGACAUGCAAGCGUUCCAUAUUUUAUUUAAAAUUUUU